CUCGUAGGCGGGACUGCGCGUCUUGGAGUAAAUCUAUCUGCUCAACGGAUAGCUCAUCUGAGAUACGGCAGUUCUUGAGGACAGGAGAGGAAAGCAGAAUUCCGGGUGUAGCGGUGAAAUGCGUAGAUAUCCGGAGGAAUACCAGUGGCGAAGGCGGCUUUCUGGCCUGAUUCUGACGCUGAGGAGCGAAAGCCAGGGGAGCGAACGGGAUUAGAUACCCCGGUAGUCCUGUUGCUGUAAACGAUGGAUACUAGGUGUAGGAGGUUUCAACCCCUUCUGUGCCGCAGCCAACGCAAUAAGUAUCCCGCCUGGGAAGUACGGCCGCAAGGUUGAA
Molecule: ribosomal RNA, 334 nt
Filed under: uncultured bacterium
Lineage: Bacteria
Description: bacterial SSU rRNA
Rfam family: Bacterial small subunit ribosomal RNA
Source: RNAcentral